AGCGAACGCUGGCGGCAGGCCUAACACAUGCAAGUCGAACGAACCUUUCGGGGUUAGUGGCGGACGGGUGAGUAACACGUGGGAACGUGCCUUUAGGUUCGGAAUAACUCAGGGAAACUUGUGCUAAUACCGAAUGUGCCCUUCGGGGGAAAGAUUUAUCGCCUUUAGAGCGGCCCGCGUCUGAUUAGCUAGUUGGUUGAGGUUAUGGCUCACCAAGGCGACGAUCAGUAGCUGGUCUGAGAGGAUGAUCAGCCACAUUGGGACUGAGACACGGCCCAAACUCCUACGGGAGGCAGCAGUGGGGAAUCUUGCGCAAGGGGCGAAAGCCUGACGCAGCCAUGCCGCGUGAAUGAUGAAGGUCUUAGGAUUGUAAAAUUCUUUCACCGGGGACGAUAAUGACGGUACCCGGAGAAGAAGCCCCGGCUAACUUCGUG
RNAcentral lists this ribosomal RNA (434 nucleotides) under uncultured bacterium. RNAcentral's name for it is "partial 16S ribosomal RNA". It matches the Rfam family "Bacterial small subunit ribosomal RNA", at positions 29 to 507 of the family's 1533-position model. The record is from RNAcentral.